RNAcentral lists this unclassified non-coding RNA (352 nucleotides) under soil metagenome. RNAcentral describes it as "partial contains 5.8S ribosomal RNA, internal transcribed spacer 2, and large subunit ribosomal RNA". The stretch from base 1 to 120 matches the Rfam family "5.8S ribosomal RNA", at positions 35 to 154 of the family's 154-position model. The record is from RNAcentral.
GAUGAAGAACGUAGUGAAAUGCGAAAAGUAAUGUGAAUUGCAGAAUUCAGUGAAUCAUCGAAUCUUUGAACGCACAUUGCGCCCGCUGGUACUCCGGCGGGCACGCCUGUCCGAGCGUCAUUUCAACCCUCAAGCCCUCCUUCGGGAUGGGCCUGGUGUUGGGGCUCGGCCGCCAUCUCCGGCGGCCGUCCCCUAAAUACAGUGGCGGUCACGUCGCGACUCCUUUGCGUAGUAGAAACACCUCGCUCCGGAUAGCAACGCGGUCCACGCCGUAAAACCACCAAUUUUCAAUGGUUGACCUCGGAUCAGGUGGGAAUACCCGCUGAACUUAAGCAUAUCAAUAAGCGGAGGA